RNAcentral lists this long non-coding RNA (595 nucleotides) under Homo sapiens (human). RNAcentral describes it as "PREDICTED lncRNA (TCONS_00036744)". The record is from RNAcentral. Lineage: Eukaryota; Metazoa; Chordata; Mammalia; Primates; Hominidae.
ACUCUGGAUCUCCUCUCUGCUGAGGGCUGCACACUCAUUGGGAUGACCUGCCUGCACAUAGAAGAGUGUGUACUAGUCUCAGUAAGUCAAUGGGUUUCCCUGGAUCCAGGCUUGGAGAAAAUGUUUUCUCUUCUCUAUCUGCAAUUCUCCUGAACCAAUUCUGACGGAUAAUAUGACUGUGUCAACCACAAAAGAGGAAAAGAAUGGGCUUUAAAUCCCGCCUUUACAGCCAUCCAAGGCAGCUCCUUCUUCAAAGGAUGGAACUUUAAGGAUGGAACCAAUUGGCUACAAAUCAUUUUAGCUGAUGCACUGAGACAAUUCUGAAGCAAACUGUCUUAUCCUGGAUUUUGUCAGUAACUGGAGUUGAAGGACUUGAAGAUUCUCAAGGAUUGAUCCAGAAUAUGUUCCAGCAAAAACUACAGCAGAGUAACUUUGACAAGAAAAAUGUUCACUUGCUACCUAAGGAGAGUCUCUGUCUCCUGACCUCUGAAUUUCGAAAUCCUCAGCUCUGGCUGCCACGCAGUGGGAACCGAAUGAGUAUGUACUGAAUGGCGAAUCCUAGUUCAGUCACUUGACUAGCUGGGUGACCUUGAGC